CAAGUGUUCUCUGCUACGUACUUCCAUCGAUAUUUUAGUAAUGCGAGUCGUUCAAGUGAUGGUCUCAAGAAUGAUCUCUCGCUUCGUUUGUUCGGAACAUUAAAACCACUGUUGUUGAAUAUAACGAAGGAAAGCGUGGUAUAGAUUAUUCCGACCAAAUGGUUUCUUAUGCCACCACAAUUAGAAAAGGAAUCAAAUGGUGCAGAAAACUUGGCAUUCAACUCCUUCUGGGAAUUUCUGUUGUAAACGCUUUGACGGUUUAGAAAAUUACAACAAGGAAGGAUAUA
Molecule: long non-coding RNA, 287 nt
Organism: Bombus impatiens (common eastern bumble bee)
Lineage: Eukaryota; Metazoa; Arthropoda; Insecta; Hymenoptera; Apidae
Exons: 2
Source: RefSeq, a predicted model, not a curated record